Molecule: ribosomal RNA, 466 nt
Filed under: uncultured bacterium
Lineage: Bacteria
Description: bacterial SSU rRNA
Rfam family: Bacterial small subunit ribosomal RNA
Source: RNAcentral
ACGAACGCUGGCGGCGUGCUUAACACAUGCAAGUCGAGCGGUAAGGCCCUUUCGGGGGUACACGAGCGGCGAACGGGUGAGUAACACGUGGGUGACCUGCCCUCAGCUCUGGGAUAAGCCUGGGAAACUGGGUCUAAUACCGGAUAUGACCUCUCAUCGCAUGGUGGGUGGUGGAAAGUUUUUUCGGCUGGGGAUGGGCCCGCGGCCUAUCAGCUUGUUGGUGGGGUGAUGGCCUACCAAGGCGACGACGGGUAGCCGGCCUGAGAGGGCGACCGGCCACACUGGGACUGAGACACGGCCCAGACUCCUACGGGAGGCAGCAGUGGGGAAUAUUGCGCAAUGGGCGAAAGCCUGACGCAGCGACGCCGCGUGGGGGAUGACGGCCUUCGGGUUGUAAACCUCUUUCGACCUUGACGAAGGCCUUCGGGUUGACGGUAGGGGUAGAAGAAGCACCGGCCAACUACGU